This is a long non-coding RNA of Arachis stenosperma, 1271 nucleotides long. RefSeq lists it as uncharacterized. NCBI's taxonomy places the organism in Eukaryota, Viridiplantae, Streptophyta, Magnoliopsida, Fabales, Fabaceae. The record is from RefSeq and is a predicted model, not a curated record. The transcript is spliced from 2 exons.
CUAAAUUGAGUAUAUUACAUAAUUAGAACUGUAAAUAUCAGAUUUAAUUACUGAAAUGUGUGAUUUCAACUCUUAUAAGCACUAACUAAUCCAUGGCAAUUUAUUUGUGGCGUUAUAAUAUUAACACAGAAGGUGGGCUGAAAGAAAGUAAAUAAUUGUAGAUGAAUUCCAAAGAAUAAAGAUUGUCACUAGCAAAAAAGAAAGCCCGAGUGAAGAGUAGAAUAAAGUUGGAAUAUAAUGUGCAGCGAAGCACUGGUAGGAAAAUGCAAAUGGAAGUGACAUGCAUAAUUUAUAGCAAUGUUCUGAAAACCGGUUCGAACCGGUCGGUCGAACCGUAAACCGGACACUGAAGCGGUUCGGUCAACAAAGAAAACCGCAGAAUUUGAUAACCGACAUUGAACCGACGAACCGGCCGAUUACCGGUCGGUCGAACCGAACCGGGACCCGGCCGGUUUUUUAAGCUGGCAGCAAAACGUCGUCGUUUUGCAAUGUGGGAACCCUAAUUCCCUUUUCUCCUUCGUCACUUCGUGCUUCGCCUUCACUCCAACCUCCAGCCUCCAGCGUCCCACAGCAUAACACCGACGAGGCCACGAGGCCACGACCCACCGGCCACCACUGUGAGAGACAGAACGCCUGAAUCCUAAAUCACGAAAACUCCCAAGGCUGAGACUGAGAUCCCUAAUUGGCUUCGCUGCUCUCUCUGCUUCAGUGGUUCCCAUUGUUGAUGAUUCUUCUUCGAGCAAGCUUGCUUCAUUGAAGUUACUAGCGUCACCGCGUCACACGGGUCGAGGACUCGCCGUCGAGACACCGCCGUCGCGCCACCUAGAGCCAUCGAGAACUGAGAAGUGAGAACGCCUCACUCUCACACGGGUCGAGCCACCGCUGUCGAGCCACCGCAACAGCCGUGGAGAACUGAGAAGGUGCCUUCGCUGUCUCCCACCACCUCACUCUCACUCUCUCUUCCCCCAUCUCUGCUUCUUCUCUGUCUUCCAGAUGCAGGUCGAGAGGCACCUCGCUAGGCAUCUGGAGUUCUCUACAGCAAAGUGAGCUUUGUGAAUUUGAUAUUUUGUUCCAUUUUGUUAUAUCUAUAUGUAUAGUCUCUCCCUAUGUGUAUAUAUGCUUUACUGUUGCACCUCAUAGAGGUUUAUGCAGAACUAGGAUUACUUUUAUAUAUUUUGGGUUAUGGUUCCUUAUAUGUAUAUUUAUGACUAUUAUCUGGCUAGCUUUAGCUUCGCAGGCUAAGUUCAAAGCUCGAUAUUUUGUACUCUUGA